AAGUCAUAACAAGGUUUCUGUAGUUAACCUCAAAGGUGCCCAAAUGGCUCAAAUUGCUUGAAAAGUUGGGGAAGGAAGUUUAGUCUCUCUACAUUCUUUAUUCCUAACACCUGUGAAUCGUUGCUGAGUUUGCUCAGUGGCAACAUUUUUUAUACACACAUAAUAGUUUGAACGUAAAAAAUAUAUAUAAAAUACAA
This 197-nucleotide unclassified non-coding RNA is filed under the name plant metagenome. RNAcentral's name for it is "partial contains small subunit ribosomal RNA and internal transcribed spacer 1". The record is from RNAcentral.